This is a long non-coding RNA of Gallus gallus (chicken), 567 nucleotides long. The record is from Ensembl. Lineage: Eukaryota; Metazoa; Chordata; Aves; Galliformes; Phasianidae.
CUGAGAGAUGCAGGAAAGGGGGAAAUCAUCUCUCCAUUGUUUCAAAGGGUAGAAUGAACUGCUCUGUGGAGAUCUGAACUCCUUGUGUGUACCUGAGGAAGAAUUUGUCUAAAACAGACCUCAGGAAAUGAUGUUUUGAAGAACAGCUCUUCAGACUAUCAGUAAGGUUGGAAAUAAGCUCCAUGAUGAAAUCAAAGAGUCACCGAAUGGCCCAAGUUGGAAGGGACCUUAAGGAUCAUGAAUCUCCAACCCCCCCACAACAGGCAGGGCCACCAACCUCCACUUUUAAUACUAGACCAGGCUGCCCAGGACCCCAUCCAACCUGGCCUUGAACACCUCCGGGGAUGGGGCAUCCACAACCUUUCUGGACAGCCUGCUCCAGCACCUUACCACUCUCACAGUAAAGAACUUCCCCUUACAUCCAACCUAAAUCUUCCCUCCCUCAACUUAAAACCAUUUCCCCUUGUCCUGCUGUUAUCUACCUCCUGCUGUUGACUCUCCUCCUGUUUAUAGGCUCCCUUUAGGUACUGAAAGGCUGCAAUUAGGCCAUCCCGCAGCCUUCUUUUC